CUUAUCAGUCGAGCCUGCUUAAGCAUCCUGAAAAUGCUAUAAUAGGAGGGAAAGAUGUUCAAACCUCCAAAUGGGA
This 76-nucleotide transfer RNA is filed under the name Pinus taeda (loblolly pine). Its description in RNAcentral is "tRNA-Ser". Lineage: Eukaryota; Viridiplantae; Streptophyta; Pinopsida; Pinales; Pinaceae. The record is from RNAcentral.